This 468-nucleotide ribosomal RNA is filed under the name uncultured bacterium. Its description in RNAcentral is "partial 16S ribosomal RNA". It matches the Rfam family "Bacterial small subunit ribosomal RNA", at positions 28 to 507 of the family's 1533-position model. The record is from RNAcentral.
GACGAACGCUGGCGGCGUGCUUAACACAUGCAAGUCGAACGGAAAGGCCCUGCUUUUGUGGGGUGCUCGAGUGGCGAACGGGUGAGUAACACGUGAGUAACCUGCCCUUGACUUUGGGAUAACUUCAGGAAACUGGGGCUAAUACCGGAUAGGAGCUCCUGCUGCAUGGUGGGGGUUGGAAAGUUUCGGCGGUUGGGGAUGGACUCGCGGCUUAUCAGCUUGUUGGUGGGGUAGUGGCUUACCAAGGCUUUGACGGGUAGCCGGCCUGAGAGGGUGACCGGCCACAUUGGGACUGCGGUACGGCCCAGAGUCCUACGGGAGGCAGCAGUGGGGAAUAUUGCACAAUGGGCGGAAGCCUGAUGCAGCAACGCCGCGUGCGGGAUGACGGCCUUCGGGUUGUAAACCGCUUUCGCCUGUGACGAAGCGUGAGUGACGGUAAUGGGUAAAGAAGCACCGGCUAACUACGUG